This 292-nucleotide ribosomal RNA is filed under the name uncultured bacterium. RNAcentral's name for it is "partial 16S ribosomal RNA". It matches the Rfam family "Bacterial small subunit ribosomal RNA", at positions 505 to 796 of the family's 1533-position model. The record is from RNAcentral.
GUGUCAGCCGCCGCGGUAACACGGGGGGAGCAAGCGUUGUUCGGAAUCACUGGGCGUAAAGGGCGUGUAGGCGGUCGAGUAAGUGGAAUGUGAAAUACUCCGGCUCACCCGGAGCACUGCAUUCCAAACUGCUCGGCUUGAGUAUGGGAGAGGAUGAGGGAAUUCCUGGUGUAGCGGUGAAAUGCGUAGAUAUCAGGAGGAACACCGGUGGCGAAGGCGCUCAUCUGGCCCAAUACUGACGCUGAGGCGCGAAAGCUAGGGGAGCAAACGGGAUUAGAUACCCGCGUAGUCC